This 497-nucleotide ribosomal RNA is filed under the name uncultured bacterium. RNAcentral's name for it is "partial 16S ribosomal RNA". It matches the Rfam family "Bacterial small subunit ribosomal RNA", at positions 28 to 507 of the family's 1533-position model. The record is from RNAcentral.
GAUGAACGCUGGCGGCGUGCCUAAUACAUGCAAGUCGAGCGAACAGAUGAGGAGCUUGCUCCUCUGACGUUAGCGGCGGACGGGUGAGUAACACGUGGAUAACCUACCUAUAAGACUGGGAUAACUUCGGGAAACCGGAGCUAAUACCGGAUAAUAUAUUGAACCGCAUGGUUCAAUAGUGAAAGACGGUUUUGCUGUCACUUAUAGAUGGAUCCGCGCCGCAUUAGCUAGUUGGUAAGGUAACGGCUUACCAAGGCAACGAUGCGUAGCCGACCUGAGAGGGUGAUCGGCCACACUGGAACUGAGACACGGUCCAGACUCCUACGGGAGGCAGCAGUAGGGAAUCUUCCGCAAUGGGCGGAAGCCUGACGGAGCAACGCCGCGUGAGUGAUGAAGGUCUUCGGAUCGUAAAACUCUGUUAUUAGGGAAGAACAAUUGUGUAAGUAACUAUGCACGUCUUGACGGUACCUAAUCAGAAAGCCACGGCUAACUACGUG